RNAcentral lists this ribosomal RNA (492 nucleotides) under uncultured bacterium. Its description in RNAcentral is "partial 16S ribosomal RNA". It matches the Rfam family "Bacterial small subunit ribosomal RNA", at positions 29 to 507 of the family's 1533-position model. The record is from RNAcentral.
AGUGAACGCUGGCGGUAGGCCUAACACAUGCGAGUCGAACGGCAGCACAGUAAGAGCUUGCUCUUACGGGUGGCGAGUGGCGGACGGGUGAGGAAUACAUCGGAAUCUACUUUUUCGUGGGGGAUAACGUAGGGAAACUUACGCUAAUACCGCAUACGACCUACGGGUGAAAGCAGGGGAUCUUCGGACCUUGCGCGAUUGAAUGAGCCGAUGUCGGAUUAGCUAGUUGGCGGGGUAAAGGCCCACCAAGGCGACGAUCCAUAGCUGGUCUGAGAGGAUGAUCAGCCACACUGGAACUGAGACACGGUCCAGACUCCUACGGGAGGCAGCAGUGGGGAAUAUUGGACAAUGGGCGCAAGCCUGAUCCAGCCAUACCGCGUGGGUGAAGAAGGCCUUCGGGUUGUAAAGCCCUUUUGUUGGGAAAGAAAAGCAGCAGGUUAAUACCCCGCUGUUCUGACGGUACCCAAAGAAUAAGCACCGGCUAACUUCGUG